Molecule: long non-coding RNA, 1054 nt
Organism: Mauremys mutica (yellowpond turtle)
Lineage: Eukaryota; Metazoa; Chordata; Testudines; Geoemydidae
Exons: 3
Source: RefSeq, a predicted model, not a curated record
GCCUAGUCACACAAGACAAUGGCCCGGUGAGGGAAACCAGCCUUAAUCAAUCAGAAUGAAGAAAACAGGUGUAUCAAUCAUAUAGUAAUAAGUAACCUGUGUGAUGUCAAUCAUGUAAUACUGAGUAACCAGUCUGUAAGAAAGAGAAUAAAAGCAGCGGUCCGGGACUAUCCUGAGACGCCUCACUGCAGCUUUGUCUCGUCUCUGUUUCCCGAUACAACAUCUGGUGACCCCGACGUGAUCCAGACACAGGACCCCCGACUCAUCGGCUGGCUUAGCCUUGGUGCACCUCAGCGCAACGCGCUCCCUCAUUGCUGCAGUAUUACAACACAUCCGAACCCACAAGCCGACCCUUUUUAUCUAGAGCCCAGCGCCAUUAUAGACAGACCGAGCCCCUUCCGGCGCCGAAGGUGAUAUAUCGCAAGUUGCCAGGACCAGAGUGGAGCCUGCCUGUGCCACUCAUCACCUGGGGCCGGGGUUACGCAGCAGUGUCAACUGAAACCGGCCCUGUGUGGGUUCCCGCUCGCUUUGUGAAGCCGUGGAGAGAUGGCCUGGCAUCAGGGGCUAAAGAAUCCCAUUCCGGACUUCAGUCUAACCCUGACGGAUAGGGUGGACAAGAUUGACAAGGCCCGAAAGCGUGGCACACCUAACACUGCCAUAACUUGGGGGCAGGUCAAAGCUUUAUCACGGCAGGCUGAACAUGUAUUAGAGCAAACUAAGGCGGAUAAGACUACAGAAAACUACUUUCUUGCGCUAAUAGCCAGCUUAAAUGCUAAUUCUCUUUGCUGGGUUAUGUAUAUUUGGGUGACCGUUCUGUGUUUGCCGCAAGGUGUUGCAGCCCCUCUCCCUUCCACCAAUGUGUGGGAGACAUUUAUUCACACCUUGAAUCAGACAUCCUUUUGCCUCUCCCAGCAAGUUACGGUGGGAGACAUCUUAGGUACCUGUCUGAUUCCUGUAUGCCAUAAUCCUAAUGAUGUUGAAAAUGCUACUUGGUUUUAUUCCAGUCUGGAGCCCAAUUCCACCAUUCAUGGUUUGGGCUAUGCUGGCUAUCAUA